This 122-nucleotide long non-coding RNA is filed under the name Jaculus jaculus (lesser Egyptian jerboa). RNAcentral's name for it is "Nuclear enriched abundant transcript 1 conserved region 1 (ENSJJAG00000001715.1)". It matches the Rfam family "Nuclear enriched abundant transcript 1 conserved region 1". The record is from RNAcentral. Lineage: Eukaryota; Metazoa; Chordata; Mammalia; Rodentia; Dipodidae.
AGUGCCCCCCCUUUUUUUUUCAGAUAAAGGGGUGUGAACCUGCCUGGGGAUGAGGCCUGAUCUUGUGCAAAGUGGACUUAGCUUCGUGGGGCUGACAGCUCUGGUCCAGGGUGGUAUGUAAU